Molecule: long non-coding RNA, 1029 nt
Organism: Rosa chinensis
Lineage: Eukaryota; Viridiplantae; Streptophyta; Magnoliopsida; Rosales; Rosaceae
Exons: 5
Source: RefSeq, a predicted model, not a curated record
GACUAAAAUUCUUUGCAAUAGUAACUGCAAAUUUUCUAUUUCAUAUUUGAUGUUGAUGACUUGAUAUUAGUUGUUCUUGUUAGUGUAAAGAUAUGGUUUUGGGUUGAGAAGCUUUUCACUAUAACUAACAUGCUUCGCAUUUUUUAAGGCACUUUUCAGUCUUUCUUGGCAUUGAUGGCUACAAAUUACUUGAGUGCAUUUUCUCUUAGUAAACUAUUAUCACCACUUCUCAGAAACAGCCCAGUUCCUUCCUGUAUAGUGAAUGUCACAUCUUUCACACAUCGAAGUGUAUUGAAUAAACAGGUUGACAAGGAGACUGUAUCUGGAAAGUGCUUUGGCAGAUCAAAAGGAUACCCAUAUGCUCAUGUCUAAGAGUAUUCCAAAUUGCUGUGGAUUCUGGUGUUGUUGAAACCAACAUCAUGCGAGAAGUUCCUCCAUGCCUUCCAGUUUGGCUUUCAAAGUUUUGAGACUUCUGUGCCUCUUGCAGUCAACUGAAGUUGGAAUUAGCUCCAUUCUUGACGCAGCACUUGCUUCACCAGAAACAUCUGGAGUUUACUUUUUUGGUGGAAAGGGCCAGACUUUCAGCUCUUCUAUGCUUUCAUAUGAUGCUAAACUUGCAAAGGCACUUUGGAAUACAUCGUCUGAUCGAUUCUUAGAGUCACAGCUUGCUUUCAAGGAAACCUCUACUUCUGUAUCAAAUUGUGUAUCAUAGGGGUUAAAUCUCCAAUUGCCGUACUAGGAGCUGAGAUUGACAGCUACUCUCCACCAGAAUUCAUGAAAACGUUUGAGGAGAUAUCCUAAACAUGAGAUGCAGAGGCCUUUUUAUUCUUUUUAAAUUUUUUUUAUUGGGAAUUUGUUCAUGUUGAAGGCUUGAAGGCUUGAAGCUGCUCAUCCUACAUUGAUUGAUGUGCAUUUAGUCUAAGAGCUAGGACUAUUUGAAAGUAGUAAUUCCAUAUCUAGGGAUAUAAUGCAGUUUGAGAUAAGCCAUAAAAAAUAGCACUAUUGUAAUUUUGAAAUAGAAGGGGAAAA